AAGUCGUAACAAGGUUUCCGUAGGUGAACCUGCGGAAGGAUCAUUAACACGUAUCCAACGUUAAACCCCCCUGUGAACUUUUACACUUGCUCUCGAAGCUCGCCGGAAUUGCAAUCCCUGGUAAAUCAUUGUUGAACAGAUUUUGAUUCAGGGACCUCAGUUUGGUGAGUUAGAUCCGAGCGAUCGUUGCAAGUGGCCUGGUUUCCCCAAGCAGUCAGUGUCUGAAAGUGUCAUUGAUUGUGUAAGGAUCUCGCCUCAACGAUUGCCAGAGGUCGCUCACCGACCGGCAGACAUGCAACCGGGUCCCCACGCCCCUUUACAACCCCAUUACCUCUGUGAGUCGCGGGAAACUAGCGGCUAAAAAACCUCGAACAACUGUUAACAAUGGAUAUCUUGGUUCUG
RNAcentral lists this unclassified non-coding RNA (402 nucleotides) under fungal sp. RNAcentral's name for it is "partial internal transcribed spacer region". The stretch from base 1 to 46 matches the Rfam family "Eukaryotic small subunit ribosomal RNA", at positions 1786 to 1831 of the family's 1831-position model. Lineage: Eukaryota; Fungi. The record is from RNAcentral.